CAAACCCGGGGAACUGAAACAUCUAAGUACCCUGAGGAAAAGAAAUCAACCGAGAUUCCCAAAGUAGCGGCGAGCGAAAUGGGAUUAGCCCUUAAGUUACAGUGGAUUUAGCAGAACGCUCUGGAAAGUGCGGCGAUAGAGGGUGAUAGCCCCGUAUGCGAAAGGUCCAUUGUAGUGAAAACGAGUAGGUCGGGACACGUGAAAUCCUGAUUGAAUAUGGGGGGACCAUCCUCCAAGGCUAAAUACUCCUGACUGACCGAUAGUGAACCAGUACCGUGAGGGAAAGGC
This 288-nucleotide ribosomal RNA is filed under the name Schmidingerella taraikaensis. Its description in RNAcentral is "partial Bacterial large subunit ribosomal RNA". It matches the Rfam family "Bacterial large subunit ribosomal RNA", at positions 180 to 514 of the family's 2925-position model. Lineage: Eukaryota; Ciliophora; Spirotrichea; Tintinnida; Rhabdonellidae. The record is from RNAcentral.